GCCAAGUCCCAGAACUGCAUGAAUUACCUGGAGCUUUACAGGAAACAAAACUGAUGUCAAAAUACCUUCAUCCUGGAAUUCCUUUCUGAUUGCAGGAGAAGUGACAGAGGCAAGACUAGAACCUCUUCCCAACAUUCUCAGUCAAGUGACCCUGCUGCUAAACCAAAGAAAUAGAUAUGUCAAGUAAAUCCAUUUGAAACUAUUCUAUAACCCACUGAUUUCAUCAGAGUUAUACUAGAUGGACACAGAGAAAGAGGUGACACCUGCUCCAAUUCCCUGAAGGGAGGGAGAGAUGGAUGAGUUGGCUGGCUUGCCCAAGAAGGUCUCAGACAGGCAAUAAUCACAGCAGGUUGAGCCAACUGAGCCC
This is a long non-coding RNA of Mauremys reevesii (Reeves's turtle), 367 nucleotides long. RefSeq lists it as uncharacterized. Lineage: Eukaryota; Metazoa; Chordata; Testudines; Geoemydidae. The record is from RefSeq and is a predicted model, not a curated record. The transcript is spliced from 3 exons.